Molecule: RNase P RNA, 224 nt
Filed under: Dethiobacter sp.
Lineage: Bacteria; Bacillati; Bacillota; Dethiobacteria; Dethiobacterales; Dethiobacteraceae
Description: partial RNase P RNA component class A
Rfam family: Bacterial RNase P class A
About the family: Ribonuclease P (RNase P) is a ubiquitous endoribonuclease, found in archaea, bacteria and eukarya as well as chloroplasts and mitochondria. Its best characterised activity is the generation of mature 5'-ends of tRNAs by cleaving the 5'-leader elements of precursor-tRNAs.
Source: RNAcentral
AAAGCAGACUGGGUAGUCGCGGGGACAUAUUGUCCUCGAGGAAAGUCCGAGCUCCAUAGGGCAGGAUGCUGGGUAACUCCCAGUGAGGGUGACCUCAAGGAAAGUGCCACAGAAAUUAAACCGCCAAGCAGAGCGGGAUAUCCCGCUCUGCUUGGUAAGGAUGAAACGGUGCGGUAAGAGCGCACCAGCGGUCAGGCGACUGGCCGGCUAGGCAAACCCCAUCC